This 235-nucleotide unclassified non-coding RNA is filed under the name fungal sp. RNAcentral describes it as "partial internal transcribed spacer region". The stretch from base 1 to 46 matches the Rfam family "Eukaryotic small subunit ribosomal RNA", at positions 1786 to 1831 of the family's 1831-position model. Lineage: Eukaryota; Fungi. The record is from RNAcentral. RNAcentral also lists the same sequence under 1 other name.
AAGUCGUAACAAGGUUUCCGUAGGUGAACCUGCGGAAGGAUCAUUCACAAUGAGUGUUUAAUGGCACUCUAAAUCCAUUACCCACCUUGUGUGCAAUGUCGAGGGGGAGAGGAGGGAACAUUCUUUUCUUCUCCCCUUUUCAUACAUACCAAAAAACUUUUAAUUAUCAGUCUACAUCUAUUUAGAGUAUAAAAAACUCGAAAUACAACUUUCAACAACGGAUCUCUUGGCUCUC